CCUACGGGUGGCUGCAGUGGGGAAUAUUGGACAAUGGGCGAAAGCCUGAUCCAGCCAUGCCGCGUGAGUGAUGAAGGCCUUCGGGUUGUAAAGCUCUUUCACCCACGACGAUGAUGACGGUAGUGGGAGAAGAAGCCCCGGCUAACUUCGUGCCAGCAGCCGCGGUAAUACGAAGGGGGCAAGCGUUGUUCGGAAUGACUGGGCGUAAAGGGCGCGUAGGCGGCGCGUUGCGUCAGAUGUGAAAUCCCCGGGCUCAACCUGGGAAUGGCAUUUGAUACGGGCGUGCUGGAAUCCGUGAGAGGUUGGUGGAAUUCCCAGUGUAGAGGUGAAAUUCGUAGAUAUUGGGAAGAACACCAGUGGCGAAGGCGGCCAACUGGCACGGUAUUGACGCUGAGGCGCGAAAGCGUGGGGAGCAAACAGGAUUAGAUACCCUAGUAGUCGU
Molecule: ribosomal RNA, 442 nt
Filed under: uncultured Inquilinus sp.
Lineage: Bacteria; Pseudomonadati; Pseudomonadota; Alphaproteobacteria; Rhodospirillales; Rhodospirillaceae
Description: bacterial SSU rRNA
Rfam family: Bacterial small subunit ribosomal RNA
Source: RNAcentral